UGGGGAAUAUUGGACAAUGGGCGAAAGCCUGAUCCAGCAAUGCCGCGUGAGUGAUGAAGGCCUUAGGGUUGUAAAGCUCUUUUACCCGGGAUGAUAAUGACAGUACCGGGAGAAUAAGCCCCGGCUAACUCCGUGCCAGCAGCCGCGGUAAUACGGAGGGGGCUAGCGUUGUUCGGAAUUACUGGGCGUAAAGCGCACGUAGGCGGCUUUGUAAGUUAGAGGUGAAAGCCCAGGGCUUAACCCUGGAAUUGCCUUUAAGACUGCAUCGCUCGAAUUGUGGAGAGGUGAGUGGAAUUCCGAGUGUAGAGGUGAAAUUCGUAGAUAUUCGGAAGAACACCAGUGGCGAAGGCGACUCACUGGACACAUAUUGACGCUGAGGUGCGAAAGCGUGGGGAGCAAACA
This 402-nucleotide ribosomal RNA is filed under the name uncultured Sphingomonas sp. RNAcentral describes it as "bacterial SSU rRNA". It matches the Rfam family "Bacterial small subunit ribosomal RNA", at positions 355 to 774 of the family's 1533-position model. Lineage: Bacteria; Pseudomonadati; Pseudomonadota; Alphaproteobacteria; Sphingomonadales; Sphingomonadaceae. The record is from RNAcentral.